Molecule: non-coding RNA, 158 nt
Filed under: Methyloceanibacter sp.
Lineage: Bacteria; Pseudomonadati; Pseudomonadota; Alphaproteobacteria; Hyphomicrobiales; Hyphomicrobiaceae
Description: 6S RNA
Rfam family: 6S / SsrS RNA
About the family: E. coli 6S RNA was the first non coding RNA to be sequenced, but its function was unknown until recently. It consists of 184 nucleotides that fold into an extended hairpin structure with a large single-stranded internal bulge.
Source: RNAcentral
GGCGGGCUGCGAGGUGCGUUAGGAGCUAUUAUUCCCGGGCCCUAUAAGAUUCUACGGGAGCUGACCCUGGCGGGGACCGUGGUUUUCGUCAAUCGGCGCCCACCUACUUUGUGUAGGGAAACCGGAAUCUUCGCUCCGACGGCCAUCGCGGCUCUGCC